Non-coding RNA from Trachymyrmex cornetzi, 26 nucleotides. The record is from Rfam. NCBI's taxonomy places the organism in Eukaryota, Metazoa, Arthropoda, Insecta, Hymenoptera, Formicidae.
CAAACGGCCCUUUUCAGGGCCACAUA